CUGGCACAGGUCAGAGUAUUUUGGCGGUUGCCAUCUUCAAACGGUCGUAUUUUAAAAACUAUACAUCCUACAGCGAAGAGCUUUAUAUUGUGAGAAUCACAAGACCCAGACCUACAUUUAGAUGCAUUGUAUGUCUCUGAAGUAUUAAAAAUGAAGGCACAGUCGCAGUUUAGAAAUUGCCCUUCAAGUUUGAGCUGGCUAGAGUGGAGUUUCCAUGAAUGUCAAUGGACGGCAUGAGUUGCAAACAAAUGGUCAUAUUGUGGAAACUAUCAGGACUAUGGCUUAGCCGUGGACAUGUUUAGUGGCAGCAGGGAUAGCUGAACGUUUUGAUAUAAGAUUUGUGUAGGUGGGCUUGAAAAUGAGGGAGUGGUGGCAGUUUAGAAAUCAUGUCCUGAUUUUUCAGCUUUUGCCAGCUCCCACUCUAGUUUUUAACAUUUUGCCAUUCAUUCCUAUGGGACCAAUUUCACCACAACAACGACGAUAGUCCGUGAACCAUUCGGCGAAACGUUCCACAAAGUAAUAACAAUCCAAUCAGGAACAAUCCGCACGU
This 550-nucleotide long non-coding RNA is filed under the name Pelobates cultripes (western spadefoot toad). Lineage: Eukaryota; Metazoa; Chordata; Amphibia; Anura; Pelobatidae. The record is from RNAcentral.